Molecule: non-coding RNA, 113 nt
Filed under: Eschrichtius robustus (grey whale)
Lineage: Eukaryota; Metazoa; Chordata; Mammalia; Artiodactyla; Eschrichtiidae
Also listed under: 2 other names
Source: RNAcentral
GUGUUAUUUGAAUGGAGAGAAGAUUGAUAUUUCACUUGUCGUGGAGAAGGAGGUCCUGUGACUUUACUUAAGGCAUCACCACCUGUAUGUAGUCUCAUCAGGGUCUCUAUUUC